GAUGAACGCUAGCGGCAGGCUUAACACAUGCAAGUCGAGGGGCAGCGCGGGAUAGCAAUAUCCUGGCGGCGACCGGCGGAAGGGUGCGUAACGCGUGAGCGACAUGCCCGUUGCCCGGGGACAACCGGUGGAAACGCCGACUAAUCCCCGAUGGGAUACGAUGCUUCAUGGCAUUGUAUUGAAAGUUACGGCGGCGACGGAUUGGCUCGCGUCCGAUUAGCUGGUUGGCGAGGUAACGGCCCACCAAGGCUGCGAUCGGUAGGGGUUCUGAGAGGAAGGCCCCCCACAAUGGGACUGAGACACGGCCCAUACUCCUACGGGAGGCAGCAGUGAGGAAUAUUGGUCAAUGGGCGGAAGCCUGAACCAGCCAUGCCGCGUGCGGGAAGGAGGCCCUAUGGGCUGUGAACCGCUUUUGCCUGGGGGCAAUAAGGGCGUCGCGCACGUCCGAUGAGAGUACCAGGCGAAUAAGCAUCGGCUAACUCCGUG
RNAcentral lists this ribosomal RNA (486 nucleotides) under uncultured bacterium. Its description in RNAcentral is "partial 16S ribosomal RNA". It matches the Rfam family "Bacterial small subunit ribosomal RNA", at positions 28 to 507 of the family's 1533-position model. The record is from RNAcentral.